GGAAAGACCCCGUGAACCUUUACUAUAGCUUGACACUGAACAUUGGGCCUUGAUGUGUAGGAUAGGUGGGAGGCAUUGAAACGUGAACGCCAGUUUGCGUGGAGCCGACCUUGAAAUACCACCCUUUAAUGUUUGAUGUUCUAACGUUGUCCCGUAAUCCGGGAUACGGACAGUGUCUGGUGGGUAGUUUGACUGGGGCGGUCUCCUCCUAAAGAGUAACGGAGGAGCACGAAGGUUAGCUAAGCAUGGUCGGACAUCAUGCGGUUAGUGCAAAGGCAGAAGCUAGCUUAACUGCGAGACGGACAGGUCGAGCAGAUACGAAAGUAGGUCUUAGUGAUCCGGUGGUUCUGAAUGGAAGGGCCAUCGCUCAACGGAUAAAAGGUACUCCGGGGAUAACAGGCUGAUACCGCCCAAGAGUUCAUAUCGACGGCGGUGUUUGGCACCUCGAUGUCGGCUCAUCACAUCCUGGGGCUGAAGUUGGUCCCAAGGGUAUGGCUGUUCGCCAUUUAAAGU
Molecule: ribosomal RNA, 513 nt
Filed under: Plesiomonas shigelloides
Lineage: Bacteria; Pseudomonadati; Pseudomonadota; Gammaproteobacteria; Enterobacterales; Enterobacteriaceae
Description: partial 23S ribosomal RNA
Rfam family: Bacterial large subunit ribosomal RNA
Source: RNAcentral